Molecule: ribosomal RNA, 400 nt
Filed under: Bacillus subtilis
Lineage: Bacteria; Bacillati; Bacillota; Bacilli; Caryophanales; Bacillaceae
Description: bacterial SSU rRNA
Rfam family: Bacterial small subunit ribosomal RNA
Source: RNAcentral
CAGCAGCCGCGGUAAUACGUAGGUGGCAAGCGUUGUCCGGAAUUAUUGGGCGUAAAGGGCUCGCAGGCGGGUUUCUUAAGUCUGAUGUGAAAGCCCCCGGCUCAACCUGGGGAGGGUCAUUGGAAACUGGGGAACUUGAGUGCAGAAGAGGAGAGUGGAAUUCCACGUGUAGCGGUGAAAUGCGUAGAGAUGUGGAGGAACACCAGUGGCGAAGGCGACUCUCUGGUCUGUAACUGACGCUGAGGAGCGAAAGCGUGGGGAGCGAACAGGAUUAGAUACCCUGGUAGUCCACGCCGUAAACGAUGAGUGCUAAGUGUUAGGGGGUCUCCGCCCCUUAGUGCUGUAGCUAACGCAUUAAGUACNCCGCUGUGGGAGUACGGUCGCAAGACUGAAACUCAAA